CAUCAGUGAGUCACACAUGUCAGCAGAGCUUAGAAGUGAAUGGGGAAUAACCACAGAAAGCCGGAACUUGUGUGUCAUCACUAUGAAAUGGUUCAGAAAGAGAGAUUGGUAAGAUUAGGGCACACCUGACUUGCUGGCCUUCAUGCAGGUCUCUUGGUCUGGAUAGGUAAAGGUUUCCAAGCAAGAGUUACGAGCACUGCACACGCAUUCAUCUCCUGCUUUGUCGCAGCCAGUGAUUUGAGGGCAGCGCUCAUCUUCAAGGCCUGCAUCUGGCUGGACAGGGAGAACUGUCAUAGAAAACAAGGAGAAAAGAAAAUAUUAGACUAACUGUCAGACAAGAUUUUGUAAGAGGAACAAAGAAUGACUGGACAGAGUAUGGGGCCCUCCCAGGGUGUGCAUCUCUGGCGGCUGCAGCAACGCCUCCUCUGAAUGGAAGCCACUCACAACAACAACUGCCUGCAGCCGUGUCUCUCAUUGAGCCUCACCCCAAGAUGGCACCAUGCAGCUUAUAGGCCCAUUUGGAAAGAAAACAAUGAAGGAAUGUCACGUUAGAGAUGUGUGAGCUGAAUAUCCAACAGGAUCUUGGGAUUAAAGGGCCCCACCGUACACAUACCUCUUAGUGUUCCCUUACCUUUCAUGCAUGAAUAAUGAUGCAGAGAUAUACCUCAUGCAGAGAUAUAUCCUUCAUUGCAUCACAUACUAACAAUGGCUGUUGGGUAAACAUGGUGAGACAAACGGUGAGUUAUCUAUAAAUCAACAGAUUUCUGAAGGAAAGUAUUAUAAUUUUGCCAUUGGGAUAGUCAUCUGAGCUGUGGAUCUUCUGAAGCUCUCUUGGAGUUUUCUUUGCUGCUUCUCUGAUUAUGUAACACUUCGGUGUAACCGAACUCUUCUUUGCACCAUCGCAAUGGAUUUUACUGU
This is a long non-coding RNA of Cyprinodon tularosa, 918 nucleotides long. RefSeq lists it as uncharacterized. The record is from RefSeq and is a predicted model, not a curated record. Lineage: Eukaryota; Metazoa; Chordata; Actinopteri; Cyprinodontiformes; Cyprinodontidae. The transcript is spliced from 3 exons.